This 85-nucleotide transfer RNA is filed under the name Felis catus (domestic cat). It matches the Rfam family "tRNA". From Rfam's summary of the family: Transfer RNA (tRNA) molecules are approximately 80 nucleotides in length. The record is from Rfam by way of RNAcentral. Lineage: Eukaryota; Metazoa; Chordata; Mammalia; Carnivora; Felidae.
GCCUCAAUAGCUCAGUUGGUUGAGCAUCCGACUUCAACUCAGGUCAUGAUCUCACAGUUCGUGGGUUUGAGCCCUACAAGGGGCU